GCCAAAGGAAUAAAGGACUACCGAUAAAAACACAAUCAUCCAUAGAUAGCUUUCCAGAUGACUGUAGCACCAUUGAUUUCAAAAUUUUGUCAACACAAGGCAUUGCAGGUGGAGACGAACAAGUAAACGUGGAUCUAGAUGAUGAUAGCGAUUGGUUGCAUAGAAAUGAGACAUUCUAGGCAAACAACAUUGUCGCAAGUAAUGACCUUCUCACAA
This is a long non-coding RNA of Zea mays, 216 nucleotides long. RefSeq lists it as uncharacterized. Lineage: Eukaryota; Viridiplantae; Streptophyta; Magnoliopsida; Poales; Poaceae. The record is from RefSeq and is a predicted model, not a curated record. The transcript has 3 exons.